UAAGUGAAAAUGGCCGAGUUGGUCUAAGGCGCCAAUUUCAGGUAUUGGUCGGGUAGAGCGUGGGUUCUAAUUCCACUAUUAACAA
Non-coding RNA from Marchantia paleacea, 85 nucleotides. Lineage: Eukaryota; Viridiplantae; Streptophyta; Marchantiopsida; Marchantiales; Marchantiaceae. The record is from the annotation of a GenBank genome assembly.